Molecule: ribosomal RNA, 622 nt
Filed under: uncultured bacterium
Lineage: Bacteria
Description: bacterial SSU rRNA
Rfam family: Bacterial small subunit ribosomal RNA
Source: RNAcentral
GACGGGGGCCCGCACAAGCGGUGGAGCAUGUGGUUUAAUUCGAUGCAACGCGAAGAACCUUACCUACUCUUGACAUCCACAGAACUUUCCAGAGAUGGAUUGGUGCCUUCGGGAACUGUGAGACAGGUGCUGCAUGGCUGUCGUCAGCUCGUGUUGUGAAAUGUUGGGUUAAGUCCCGCAACGAGUGCAACCCCUAUCCUUAUUUGCCAGCACGUAAUGGUGGGAACUCUAGGGAGACUGCCGGUGAUAAACCGGAGGAAGGUGGGGACGACGUCAAGUCAUCAUGGCCCUUACGAGUAGGGCUACACACGUGCUACAAUGGCGAGUACAGAGGGUUGCAAAGCCGCGAGGUGGAGCUAAUCUCACAAAGCUCGUCGUAGUCCGGAUUGGAGUCUGCAACUCGACUCCAUGAAGUCGGAAUCGCUAGUAAUCGUGGAUCAGAAUGCCACGGUGAAUACGUUCCCGGGCCUUGUACACACCGCCCGUCACACCAUGGGAGUGGGCUGCAAAAGAAGUGGGUAGCUUAACCUUCGGGGGGGCGCUCACCACUUUGUGGUUCAUGACUGGGGUGAAGUCGUAACAAGGUAGCCCUAGGGGAACCUGGGGCUGGAUCACCUCCUUA